This 361-nucleotide ribosomal RNA is filed under the name Acanthamoeba sp. RNAcentral describes it as "SSU rRNA". It matches the Rfam family "Eukaryotic small subunit ribosomal RNA", at positions 785 to 1112 of the family's 1831-position model. Lineage: Eukaryota; Discosea; Longamoebia; Acanthamoebidae. The record is from RNAcentral.
UUUUCUGCCACCGAAUACAUUAGCAUGGGAUAAUGGAAUAGGACCCUGUCCUCCUAUUUUCAGUUGGUUUUGGCAGCGCGAGGACUAGGGUAAUGAUUAAUAGGGAUAGUUGGGGGCAUUAAUAUUUAAUUGUCAGAGGUGAAAUUCUUGGAUUUAUGAAAGAUUAACUUCUGCGAAAGCAUCUGCCAAGGAUGUUUUCAUUAAUCAAGAACGAAAGUUAGGGGAUCGAAGACGAUCAGAUACCGUCGUAGUCUUAACCAUAAACGAUGCCGACCAGCGAUUAGGAGACGUUGAAUACAAAACACCACCAUCGGUGCGGUCAUCCUUGGCGUUGGUCUUCAAAAGCCAGCGCGGGGGUGGC